This 503-nucleotide ribosomal RNA is filed under the name uncultured bacterium. RNAcentral describes it as "partial 16S ribosomal RNA". It matches the Rfam family "Bacterial small subunit ribosomal RNA", at positions 28 to 522 of the family's 1533-position model. The record is from RNAcentral.
GAUGAACGCUAGCGGCAGGCUUAAUACAUGCAAGUCGAGGGGCAGCAUGAGUGUAGCAAUACAUUUGAUGGCGACCGGCAAACGGGUGCGGAACACGUACACAACCUUCCUAUAAGUGGGGAAUAGCCCAGAGAAAUUUGGAUUAAUACCCCGUAACAUAAUGAUGUGGCAUCACAUUAUUAUUAUAGCUACGGCGCUUAUUGAUGGGUGUGCGGCUGAUUAGAUAGUUGGCGGGGUAACGGCCCACCAAGUCUACGAUCAGUAGCUGAUGUGAGAGCAUGAUCAGCCACACGGGCACUGAGACACGGGCCCGACUCCUACGGGAGGCAGCAGUAAGGAAUAUUGGUCAAUGGACGCAAGUCUGAACCAGCCAUGCCGCGUGAAGGAUUAAGGUCCUCUGGAUUGUAAACUUCUUUUAUCUGGGACGAAAAAAGGCUAUUCUUAGUCACUUGACGGUACCAGAUGAAUAAGCACCGGCUAACUCCGUGCCAGCCGCCGCCGAA